This 881-nucleotide ribosomal RNA is filed under the name uncultured bacterium. RNAcentral's name for it is "bacterial SSU rRNA". It matches the Rfam family "Bacterial small subunit ribosomal RNA", at positions 28 to 878 of the family's 1533-position model. The record is from RNAcentral.
GACGAACGCUGGCGGCGUGCUUCAUACAUGCAAGUCGAGCGGGGUAUAUACAGUAGCUUGCUACAGUAUAUACCUAGCGGCGGACGGGUGAGUAACACGUGGGCAAUCUGCCCACCAGUUGGGAAUAACAUCGGGAAACUGAUGCUAAUACCGAAUACACCUAAGAGAUCGCAUGAACUUUUAGGGAAAGAGGGCCUCUGAUUCAAGCUCUUGCUGGUGGAUGAGCCCGCGGCCCAUUAGCUAGUUGGUGAGGUAAAGGCUCACCAAGGCGACGAUGGGUAGCCGGCCUGAGAGGGUGAACGGCCACACUGGGACUGAGACACGGCCCAGACUCCUACGGGAGGCAGUAGUAGGGAAUUUUGUACAAUGGGGGAAACCCUGAUACAGCGACGCCGCGUGAGCGAAGAAGGCCUUCGGGUUGUAAAGCUCUGUCAGUGGGGAAGAAGACCCUCGACCUAAUACGUCGAGGGGAUGACGGUACCCGUAAAGGAAGCCCCGGCUAACUACGUGCCAGCAGCCGCGGUAAUACGUAGGGGGCGAGCGUUGUCCGGAAUUAUUGGGCGUAAGGGGCGCGUAGGCGGCUUGAGAAGUCGCAGGUGAAAUCCCGCGGCUCAACCGUGGAACUGCCUGCGAAACCAUUGGGCUUGAGGACAGGAGAGGGAAGCGGAAUUCCUGGUGUAGCGGUGAAAUGCGUAGAUAUCAGGAGGAACACCAGUGGCGAAGGCGGCUUUCUGGCCUGGUCCUGACGCUUAGGCGCGAAAGCUAGGGGAGCAAACAGGAUUAGAUACCCUGGUAGUCCUAGCUGUAAACGAUGGGCACUAGGUGUUGGGGGGUUCAUACCCUUCAGUGCCGUAGGUAACCAAUAAGUGCCCCGCCUGGGA